Scophthalmus maximus (turbot) is the source of this 2416-nucleotide long non-coding RNA. RefSeq lists it as uncharacterized. The transcript is spliced from 2 exons. The record is from RefSeq and is a predicted model, not a curated record. Lineage: Eukaryota; Metazoa; Chordata; Actinopteri; Pleuronectiformes; Scophthalmidae.
CGCCAAACUGACAAAUUCAAAACCCACGCAGAAAGGAAAGAUUUUCUCACUUUGCCAGGGAGAUUAUGUAAAAAAAAAAAAAAAAAUGAAGUUGUUUGAUAUAUAACAAAUGUCCAUUUUCUGAGUCAUCUUAGGAUGUUUAGUUAAUAAUGGAAUGGAAAUAAUUCCACAAACAAUAACCCUGCAACAAAAAUACUUAAAUACACUCAAAAGACGGGUCAAUGAGAAUAAAAUUAUGUUUUGAACAGCUUGCUGGCUUGGUCUUUCCCCCCAUAAUGAGGAAAACACAAGACAAUACGCUUUGCAAAUAUGGCCUACAACUUAAUGUCAAGGACGAGGUCAGGUCAAUUCUAGGUAAUGUAGGACAGAGAGCAAAGAUUGUGUGUCCUCUGUAGUCUCUCUGUUGUUGCUGUUGUUGUUCUUUAUUAUUAUAGAUUUCAGUUUAGCGCUCUUACAGUGUUGAAAUACUCCAUUCCAGACGACAUGAAGGCCUCCGCCACCUCUUUGGUCGUCACCACACACGACAUGGGGUGGCCGUUGCCAAUGGGCUUCCCCAUGGUGACAAUGUCAGGCACAAAGUCCUCUCCCUGAAGCUGGAAGGCCCAGAAGUGGGCGCCAACGCGCCCGAAGCCCACCUGGACCUCGUCAGCGAUGAACAGGCCCCCUGCCUUACGGACGUGCCUGUGGGGGUGCAGCGUGGAGGUAGACGCAGGCAUUCACUUACACACUAGGGUUAAACAGUCAAAAGCCGUUUUCACGCAUGAACUCCAGACAAUGUCGUUAGAAAUGGGUGUGUAUUUGUUGUUCAUCGUUUCGAGCAUACUUUGUCGUAUGUGUCCCGCACAUUUUGUGCACAUUGUGCAGUCAGAGAAUCCUUUGCAGAAGUCCACAUGUAAGGAUUUCCACCUGACAUAAAUAGUUUUAAAUUACCCCGAGGCAUGGGCUGUGAAUAUGAAUGCGUCGCAUGGGUACAUACUCUGCCACUUGCUGGAAAUAGCCCAUGGGGGGAACAACCUGCCCGCCACAACUCUGCAAAGACUCAGCAAUAAAAGCAGCAAUCUGUACAAGAAAAAACAAAACAGAUCAGUUGUACCAAUACACAACCAGAUCAACAGGUUCAGAGGAGGAGUCCUAGCAUAGUUGACCUGGUGGAAUCCCCCUUUGUGUCAAUUUUCAGAGAAGCAAUCAUGAAUUGCUUUGAGAUCGUGUUACCGUAGUUCACAAGCACUCCUGUGUCGAUGCAUAUCUGCACAAACAUCCAACACUAACUGCUUAAUAUAUAACUGUGCCCAUCUCUGGACAGGCAUCACGUCCCCCUCACCGCUGGAUGCAUGGACAUACCCUCCGGGUUGUGCUUUUAAACAUUGGAUAAAGGGCCAACAAGUUUGGACACAGAGAGUCCCCUACGGCCUACACAUGUUCUUGUGAUCUAGGAUUUUGGCCCUAAAAGCCACUGUAGAUUUCUAAAGGUAAAAACAAACUGCCAGGUAGUUUUCAUGCUUGAGUAAAUUUGAAAUGUACAUUUUUUUUAAAUAAACCAUUUUGACUUCAUUGUGAAGGCAUAUCGGAUCACUGAUCAACUUUAAAGAUCCGCUAUUUUACCCCUUUUAACACGUUUAUAUUUGAUCUCUGAGGUCCCCAAAACAUGUCUUCGAAGUUUCCUUCUUAAAAUACCCCUCAGGUCCCUCAUACUGUGAUCCUCUAAAGACCUCUGAAGCCCUCCAUCUCAGCCCUUCUCGGAUGAGCUGUUUCUGUGUCUGUAGCUUUUAUGUAAAUGAGCUUUGGCUGGUUCCGCCCCUCUCAGGAAGUGGAUGUGGCCUAGUCUUUCUGGGGCCUCGCCCCUUUGUUUACACUGAGCGAACACAGACACGGCUCGUCUGAGGCGAUCUAGCAGAACAACCACACAAUUUUGAACCAGAAUCUGAAGAAGUAGAAGCUGCUGCAGAGGCGGAGAAGCUGUGGAUGCAGCGCAACGUUUCUGAAUGGAGCUUUGGGAGCUGGUGCUGGGGCUUUCUUGGGCGGACAAUCAGCGUCGUCAUUCCAGUCUGUGGAUCUUUGCAUUCUCGAAUGUUGGAAUUAGAGCCCUUGGUUAAACCAUGUCACAUAUCUGGCUAUGACCUCCUCCUUGUCUGGCCGCUCAUACUGUGCAGCGAUGGCCUCUGGAAUGGGAAUUUUCAAUAUGGCAUCCUUGUAGGGUCCACAAAGACUUUUUCAAAGACGAGGUCCAUCAAGUCAGCCACAUACCCUGUGCAAUAUUAGACCGGCGAACACCGGGGUGAGCAACGGUGUUCCCCGGCGUCACCCCGGUGUUCACCCCGUUGUUCACCCCGGUGUUCGCAGGUGUAAGCUAAAUGAAAACACGAGUACAGGGCCAGAUUACCGCUAUAACUCUGAAUAAUAAAGUGGUGUUCAGUCA